AUGAAAGGGGAUGUUGAUGGUGAUAGCGCGGAGGGAAGGAAGGUUUGGCGAUGUGAAGAAGAGGACAGCUUCUUCGAAGAUCUGCGGAGGAACGGGAAUUUACCAGAGCUUAUGUUUAGAGAGUUGAAUGAGUUGAACGGAAGAAGUUUCACCGGAAAAUUCAGUGUGGUGGGUAUGCGGUGGAUGGAAGGUAAGGUUUGUACAUUAGGUGGGGGGAUUGAAGGAGAAGUUGAAGUGUGGUGA
This is a non-coding RNA of Vicia faba (fava bean), 243 nucleotides long. The record is from the annotation of a GenBank genome assembly. NCBI's taxonomy places the organism in Eukaryota, Viridiplantae, Streptophyta, Magnoliopsida, Fabales, Fabaceae.